UUGAACGCUGGCGGCAGGCCUAACACAUGCAAGUCGAGCGGUAGCACAGAGAGCUUGCUCUCGGGUGACGAGCGGCGGACGGGUGAGUAAUGUCUGGGAAACUGCCUGAUGGAGGGGGAUAACUACUGGAAACGGUAGCUAAUACCGCAUAAUGUCGCAAGACCAAAGUGGGGGACCUUCGGGCCUCAUGCCAUCAGAUGUGCCCAGAUGGGAUUAGCUAGUAGGUGGGGUAACGGCUCACCUAGGCGACGAUCCCUAGCUGGUCUGAGAGGAUGACCAGCCACACUGGAACUGAGACACGGUCCAGACUCCUACGGGAGGCAGCAGUGGGGAAUAUUGCACAAUGGGCGCAAGCCUGAUGCAGCCAUGCCGCGUGUGUGAAGAAGGCCUUCGGGUUGUAAAGCACUUUCAGCGGGGAGGAAGGCGGUGAGGUUAAUAACCUCACCGAUUGACGUUACCCGCAGAAGAAGCACCGGCUAACUCCGUGCCAGCAGCCGCGGUAAUACGGAGGGUGCAAGCGUUAAUCGGAAUUACUGGGCGUAAAGCGCACGCAGGCGGUCUGUCAAGUCGGAUGUGAAAUCCCCGGGCUCAACCUGGGAACUGCAUUCGAAACUGGCAGGCUAGAGUCUUGUAGAGGGGGGUAGAAUUCCAGGUGUAGCGGUGAAAUGCGUAGAGAUCUGGAGGAAUACCGGUGGCGAAGGCGGCCCCCUGGACAAAGACUGACGCUCAGGUGCGAAAGCGUGGGGAGCAAACAGGAUUAGAUACCCUGGUAGUCCACGCCGUAAACGAUGUCGAUUUGGAGGUUGUGCCCUUGAGGCGUGGCUUCCGGAGCUAACGCGUUAAAUCGACCGCCUGGGGAGUACGGCCGCAAGGUUAAAACUCAAAUGAAUUGACGGGGGCCCGCACAAGCGGUGGAGCAUGUGGUUUAAUUCGAUGCAACGCGAAGAACCUUACCUGGUCUUGACAUCCACAGAACUUUCCAGAGAUGGAUUGGUGCCUUCGGGAACUGUGAGACAGGUGCUGCAUGGCUGUCGUCAGCUCGUGUUGUGAAAUGUUGGGUUAAGUCCCGCAACGAGCGCAACCCUUAUCCUUUGUUGCCAGCGGUCCGGCCGGGAACUCAAAGGAGACUGCCAGUGAUAAACUGGAGGAAGGUGGGGAUGACGUCAAGUCAUCAUGGCCCUUACGACCAGGGCUACACACGUGCUACAAUGGCAUAUACAAAGAGAAGCGACCUCGCGAGAGCAAGCGGACCUCAUAAAGUAUGUCGUAGUCCGGAUUGGAGUCUGCAACUCGACUCCAUGAAGUCGGAAUCGCUAGUAAUCGUAGAUCAGAAUGCUACGGUGAAUACGUUCCCGGGCCUUGUACACACCGCCCGUCACACCAUGGGAGUGGGUUGCAAAAGAAGUAGGUAGCUUAACCUUCGGGAGGGCGCUUACCACUUUGUGAUUCAUGACUGG
This 1457-nucleotide ribosomal RNA is filed under the name uncultured organism. RNAcentral describes it as "SSU rRNA". It matches the Rfam family "Bacterial small subunit ribosomal RNA". The record is from RNAcentral.